This is a long non-coding RNA of Notothenia coriiceps (black rockcod), 1351 nucleotides long. RefSeq lists it as uncharacterized. Lineage: Eukaryota; Metazoa; Chordata; Actinopteri; Perciformes; Nototheniidae. The record is from RefSeq and is a predicted model, not a curated record. The transcript is spliced from 2 exons.
UUUUAUUAUUUUAUUGUCCAAUUUGUUUGCAGGAUGAAAUUGCUUCAGAAGAAGACCUUGGCGAGAUGGAAAAAGCAGCAAGUGUUUCUAAAACCAGAAAAUCAGGCAAAAGAACAGCCAAAUCCAAAGCCGUGUUGGAGCCUCCUCCCAUAGCAGAGGUGGAACUGCUCUCUCCUCUGCCCAGCCCCGCUGAUCCCCUCCCCCGAGCACAGAAGAGGACGAAGAAGGGAGAGACCCCAGCCCCCGGCAGGAACCUUCGACGCAAACGAAUAAUGGAAACCGUUUUCUCAAAACCUGUAACACGGAGGAAGAAACUUUAAGGAGGUCGGUGGUGGUUUUAACCGGGGAACCUCAGACAGCCGCGAGAAGACCUGAACCAACUCCGUCAAGAGCUGUCAAAUACAAGUGUAUGCCUAAACUCAUUAUGGUUCUAUUUCCUCGAAUGCCUCAGAGUGCUGUGGUUGUCUUUGUAUAUUUACUUCCCUGUAGGACAAGUGAAUAAAAAAAAAAGAAGCAAUUUAGGCAUGAAAAUAUAUUUUUGGGAGAAAACACACUGGACAGCAGUGUGAGAGAGGCAUAUAUUUUUGGAGUUUACAUAUCCCGUUCAUCCCGGACUGGAUUUCACUUGAUAUUGCAUCUGUGGGACAUUUUAAGACGCUCCUCGUAAUCCGCCUAAAUCUCUGGACACAAAAAGACACAAAGGAAAUAAAUCAAGGUGGGCUUUUAGAAGCGCCCAGUAAUAAAACCGGAGGGACUGAAGUGAGCCUUGCUCUAAGAAAUUGGUUUUAUUCACUCUUUUAACUUUUUUGUUUAUUUUUUUGUUUUUGUUCUCAUCGUUUACUUUUUAGAUCUUGAGGCCUGCUACCUUUUUCUAUUUAAGAAGAAAAGCAACCAACCCAGUGGAGACAAAUGAUUUUUACUGAUAAAUGUGUAUAUAGUCUUUUGCUAUGUUCCAAAUAAAGUUCAUAAAUAAAUCGUAAAAAAUGUCUUUCAUUUUGAGGUUUUAAGUGUCAUGAAUGCGUUUGAUCAUCUAAUCAGCCUGCCUAUGCCAUAGUCUUAAAAUGUGUGUCAAUUUGAGGGAUUACCUGUGAAAGACUUGUGAACUAAUGCCAUCAGAUUGGAGUGUUUCUGUGUGUAAUAGGGAUGAUGUAAAGUGUGAAAUCAACAAAAAGACUUACACAGCUGUUUAGAGUUUUAAAAAUGUAAAAUAGAUGUUUUGCGACAUGUUCUUAGACUUGUUAAACUAAAUUUAUGGCAACCAACAUCUGAGAAAUAGGCUAUUUUCUGAUGAAUGUAUGUAGAAUGUCUUAUUUUUGAUGACUGCUCUUUGAUAAAUAUGGCUACGCUUGAA